CAUGCAAGUCGAACGGAAAGGCCAGUGCUUGCACUGGUACUCGAGUGGCGAACGGGUGAGUAACACGUGGGUGAUCUGCCCUGUACUUCGGGAUAAGCUUGGGAAACUGGGUCUAAUACCGGAUAGGACAACUUUUUGGAUAUUGUUGUGGAAAGCUUUUGCGGUAUGGGAUGAGCUCGCGGCCUAUCAGCUUGUUGGUGGGGUAAUGGCCUACCAAGGCGUCGACGGGUAGCCGGCCUGAGAGGGUGUACGGCCACAUUGGGACUGAGAUACGGCCCAGACUCCUACGGGAGGCAGCAGUGGGGAAUAUUGCACAAUGGGCGCAAGCCUGAUGCAGCGACGCCGCGUGGGGGAUGAAGGCCUUCGGGUUGUAAACUCCUUUCGCUAGGGACGAAGCAUUUKUG
RNAcentral lists this ribosomal RNA (404 nucleotides) under Corynebacterium sp. 2012256085. Its description in RNAcentral is "bacterial SSU rRNA". It matches the Rfam family "Bacterial small subunit ribosomal RNA", at positions 54 to 458 of the family's 1533-position model. Lineage: Bacteria; Bacillati; Actinomycetota; Actinomycetes; Mycobacteriales; Corynebacteriaceae. The record is from RNAcentral.